UUAAACUCGACUUUAUAAAUUGGACAAAAUUAAUUUUAAUUGCGUUGAGAGAAUUUUAUUUCAUUUUCUCGCCGAGAUAAAUAGAAUAUGAUCAACAAUUUGAUACCUGAUAAAAAAAUAAUGAAUUACGAUCUGAAUUAGUAUCAUUUCAUUAUCAUAAAGUUAUCUGUUCCUUGCCAGUGAUGAGUUUCUUCUCGUGCAUAACUGUAAUUCAUAUAUACACGACUUUCGGUUCUGUAACAAAAUUUUCGGGUGAACCAGAAACUUUACGAUGUUAUUGAUAAAACAAAUUCGUACUUCUACAGAAAGAACGACACGCAGGCAGGUCGUCUCCUGCGUCUGCAGUUGAGAGAAAUAUGGCGAAGAAUCGAAGAAGGAAGAAGGAAAUUCCCAACGACAGGAAGGGGAACACUGAGGGUAGCGAACCCGUGACUGGCGGUGUCUUGCGUGAGAAAAAAAGCUGCAUUCGCCUUUUACAGAAAAAUUACUAAAGUAAAAACGAUCUUGUUGAUGGUUCGGUACUUUCCAAAACUAUUAUCCAAAACGACAAAAACUGUACUAUCAAAGUAUCAAACUUAUUCUCACUAGAAGAAUUAACUGGAUCAUAAAGUUACCUUGCCAGUAAUAUCAUUAUAUAUCGUGUUGUCGUCAUUACACCAGAAGAAUCACCCCUCAAGCAUAUCCGAUGUGGGAUAUGGGAGCAGUCUUAAAGAUUUAUCAUAAAGCCAACACAACGUUAUCGCACAGUAAACGAUAUUUUCAUUGUGCACAAGAAUAACACGCAAGUAGUAUUAUUUGUAGGAAUGAUAUUUUUAGUCAUGCCAAUAUAACUGUAACCAGUUUGUUUUAAAAUUAGAAUCCGAAGGAUUCUGAGCGAGCUUACUAGAGCCAAUUGUAAAUAUUUGAAAAAGGCAGAUAAAUAAGAAUAGAAAAUUUAUCAUUCCACAAACUUUAUUAAAAUUAUACAAAAGAUAUUCAGUUGAUCAAAGACCUCUCAGUGAUAGGAGACUCACUAAUCUUUAACAAAGCUUGUAUGUGUUUAGGAUCAAUGGCGAGUAAAAGCAGAGACAAAAAAGAAUGGGAAUCUAUUAAAAUGUGACAUCGGAGACAAUGGGUAAUAAUAUGUAUACAUAUAUAUGCAUACAGAUUCAAUAUUAAUAUUCAAUAUUGCUUAUAGGUACGAACGGGGUAAAAACAUGGUAACCUGAUGGACGUCCUAGGACAAUCGGUUAACGUGGAGUCUGCCUUACCGAUAAGAAUAAUUAAGAUCUCAAGGUACCUGAAGUGUCCACGUGUGCACGACAUGUAGAUCCUGAAGUAAUACGAAUUGAAGGUAUCUGUUUCACGAUAUACCAAGAGGAUACUGAAGUGCGUGUCUUUUCAGAGGUAACUUCUCCUGAGGAUGCAAGCAGCACCACCUUGUGGUAGGUGCUGAGCUCUGAAGUAUAAGGAUAGGGGCCUGGUGGAGACUGCAAGGGUGGCUUGAGGAAGUAGAAGGAGAACCAGUAGAAACCAACACCUGGUACUGAAUGGCACCAAUCGAUAUAACAUUGUACGAUACGAGGGUAUAUUCCCAAAUACUAUCCCAAAAGCUUGUACGACUUCCUUAGCUUGGCAACGGGAUACCUCGGGUGUAACCGUGUAAGAAGUUUCUUCAGGGUGAAACGAUAAUGUUACCCCUAGAGUUUCGGCAACGUUAUUCCUGAAGCAGAUAGGUCAGGCUGAGUAUCUUGGACGACAGUAAUUCACACAAUACAUUGAGAAGCUUGUGGAGUAGACUUUGGAACCUAUGAUAUUUACAUAAUUUAUAUUAAACGUGACAAAUUGUUAA
Molecule: long non-coding RNA, 1831 nt
Organism: Cephus cinctus (wheat stem sawfly)
Lineage: Eukaryota; Metazoa; Arthropoda; Insecta; Hymenoptera; Cephidae
Exons: 3
Source: RefSeq, a predicted model, not a curated record